AACGCAUUAUGGGAGAUAAAAACCAAGUCAUUUUGUGAUGCUUUAAGAUAGCGCAGGGAAGGCAAAUCACGGAAAGUAAAAGCCAACAACACGAGGAUCUCAUUGUCGCUAAUAUCUAGUAACUGCAGUUUGGGUACAGAGCAGCCCAGACCAGCUGCUUGUUCAACAGAAUCCUCAAAAACAUCUGGAGGCCUGCCUGCAUCUGUAAGCAAAGGGCAGCUGAGGAGAGAGAGAGAGAGGAUUUCAAACAAUAUGUUUUAAUCGUGGCCCACAACAGGUACUUGAGUUGCUUGGAGACAGGAGUACACAGUCGCAGUGAUUGAUGACGAAGAAAGCUCAUCCCAAAAGUCGUAAACGAUAGACUUGUUUAAGACUCCCCCACGAGCACUCCAGCUGAACCAGAACAUAGAGAAAACAAAAACUGAAUUACAGUUAUUGCUGCCUCUACGACAGCUCCAGUUAUUGAAGAAAAGAUGGGACAGUUUUAUAGAAUCAGCUUUUGGAAAUGAAAAACUCACCUCUGGAAAAAAGUCCUUGUAGGAGUUAAUAAUCCAGUUCAAAAUCUAAAACUAUUGAGGAUAUGCAGGAGUCUCCUCUGGUCCCCUCUUGUUCGUGGAUGUGACUCUCCUCUGGUCCCCUCUUGUCUGUGGAUGGGAGGCUCUCUGCUCGCUGGAGGAUUAUAAGCACUGUCUCAUGGAUCUUUUCCAAAACACUCCUCUGGGCGACAGGAUGUAGCCACAGGUCAGCCAAAUAUAGAGAUUUAGGAGCAAACACCAGAUGGGAAUGAUUUAAAGCCACACUUAGGGAUAAAGAAAUCGGCUAUCGAGGGUUGAGGGGUGGACUUUGAUUAUAUUU
Boleophthalmus pectinirostris (great blue-spotted mudskipper) is the source of this 855-nucleotide long non-coding RNA. RefSeq lists it as uncharacterized. Lineage: Eukaryota; Metazoa; Chordata; Actinopteri; Gobiiformes; Gobiidae. The transcript is spliced from 3 exons. The record is from RefSeq and is a predicted model, not a curated record.